UGGCGGACGGGUGAGUAACGCGUGGGUAACCUGCCUCAUACAGGGGGAUAACAGUUAGAAAUGACUGCUAAUACCGCAUAAGACCACAGCACCGCAUGGUGCAGGGGUAACAACUCCGGUGGUAUGAGAUGGACCCGCGUCUGAUUAGGUAGUUGGUGGGGUAACGGCCCACCAAGCCGACGAUCAGUAGCCGACCUGAGAGGGUGACCGGCCACAUUGGGACUGAGACACGGCCCAA
This 238-nucleotide ribosomal RNA is filed under the name uncultured bacterium. RNAcentral describes it as "partial 16S ribosomal RNA". It matches the Rfam family "Bacterial small subunit ribosomal RNA", at positions 96 to 334 of the family's 1533-position model. The record is from RNAcentral.